UUUGUGAGAGAUUUUUGGCAUCCGCGUAGCGAUCGUCGUUCUUUGGAAGCAGUUACCUAUCUUGCAACUAUUGAAUUUUGAAGCGCAACCGAGCUUUCGUCAUCCUUCACUGUGGGCGAAUAGUUUAAGGCAUUUACAAACUCUAAAUUUAAAUUUUCAUGUUUUUGACUAUUUUUCAAUUUUAGUUCUUAGGUUGACAUAUUAAAUGUCUGGUAGUAGUAUUGAGGAAGAACAACCUACCCUUAGCACUAUUAGGCGCUAUCUUAUAAGAUAAUCUUUGGGGAAAGAUCUUGGCUGAAAUAAAGGAAUUGCUUCUUCUCUUUCUGAUAAUAUUGACGACCCAUUUCAGCUGUUAUAUGCGGAAGAACAAAGAGAGGCUUUUACGUGGCCACCCCAUUUGACAGACCAUCUGGAUUAAUCUGCCAUGUUGCUGCCCAACAAAUGCAUGACCUAAUGAAGGCCGUCGCUUUUGGGACAUAGCUGGUUGAGAUGUACAAAUACUACCAGGAGCAACAUCUCCUAGGAUCCUCAAACCAGGAGUCUCUGGAAACGGCAUUGAAAAAUGCCGAGGAAGCUCUUGACGGCAUCAAAGUGAUAAAGGCCAGGGAUGAUGAGGAGCGGAAGACUUUACGGGAGAAGGUUGGUAAGGUCACCAACCUUAAAGCGGAGGUGAAACUCCUCAAGACCCAGUUAUCUGAAAAGAGCACAGCGGCUGACCAACUUCUUGUUGUGCAAAAUGAGCUCUCCUAUGCCAAAAAUACUAUCAGCACUUUUGAGGCUAAGAUCCAAAAAAUAGAAGCUGAUAAACCAAGUAUUCGUCAAAGAGCAGUCGACCGCUACUUAACCUCCAAAGUGUUUUGUACCAAGCUUCAAGACCGCUUUGAUGGGGGAUAGACCGCUGCCCAGAGAUGUGUAGUCCAGGCUGCCGGCUGGAAGAAAGAUGACUGGGCCAAGGUUGAGAAGGCUUUUGAUAAUGAAGCCCACAAGAUUCCUUCUGGCUUUGAACAACAAAAAUUUUCUAAUGAAGAUCUUCUCAAUCUCGAUCCUACUCCUAAUGACGACCCUUCAGAUCGCAGCAUUGUGAAUUAUCCCGAGCCUGAAAAUUUACAAGCUUGAAGGGGCAGGCAGUCAUCACUGACAUCAUCCUGCGGUUCUUGUGUAAUGGGACCUUAUCUGCAAUGAUUUUAAGCUUUGAACUUUUGUUUUUUGUGUAGCUAUUUUUUGACAAUGUUGUUUUAUCUACAUGUACCCUUUUUUGUGGUGAUGCCUGUCGAUUGUCAUUCGUAAUGUUUCUUUUCGCAAAAAAAUUACCUUCUCUGUCUAUAUGUCAUACAUUUACCUUGUUUUACUUUGUUUUUUACUAAGCAUUU
Molecule: RNA transcript, 1370 nt
Organism: Chenopodium quinoa (quinoa)
Lineage: Eukaryota; Viridiplantae; Streptophyta; Magnoliopsida; Caryophyllales; Amaranthaceae
Exons: 2
Source: RefSeq, a predicted model, not a curated record